GGAAUCUUGCGCAAUGGACGAAAGUCUGACGCAGCGACGCCGCGUGAGCGAUGAAGGCCUUCGGGCCGUAAAGCUCUGUGGGGAGAGACGAAUAAGGUAUGGCUAAUAUCCAUACCGAUGACGGUAUCUCCUUAGCAAGCACCGGCUAACUCUGUGCCAGCAGCCGCGGUAAGACAGAGGGUGCAAACGUUGUUCGGAAUUACGGGGCGGAAAGCGCGUGGAGGCGGCAGCGUGUGUCGGGCGUGAAAUCCCACGGCUCAACCGUGGAAGUGCACUCGAAACUGCGCAGCUAGAGUCCUGGAGAGGAAGGUGGAAUGCUUGGUGUAGAGGUGAAAUUCGUAGAUAUCAAGCGGAACACCGGUGGCGAAGGCGACCUUCUGGACAGUGACUGACGCUGAGACGCGAAAGCGUGGGGAGCAAAC
Molecule: ribosomal RNA, 422 nt
Filed under: uncultured bacterium
Lineage: Bacteria
Description: bacterial SSU rRNA
Rfam family: Bacterial small subunit ribosomal RNA
Source: RNAcentral